AUGCUACAUGGUCUACGCUAUCUUGAGCUAUUGAAGGCUUUUGAAUGGAAGAGGCUGGAUUUUUACGCAGGGUCAUUUCCGAAACUUGGUUAUCUAAGGAUAUGGGUUGCAGCACAGCUCAACCAAGUUGCAGUAGAGGAGGGCGCGAUGCAAAACCUUGUCGAGCUAUGGUUCGAAGACUGUCCUGAGCUAAAGUUUCUUCCUGAUGGCAUCGAACACCUUGCAGCCCUUGAGAAAUUGCAUUUGCUGGACACAUCAGAAGAGUUGAUAGAGAAGCUCCGACAGAACAGAGAUUCAGAUGAAUGCGGCGAUGUAAUGAAGAUUAACCACACAAGGAAAUGUUACAGUUGCACUGUCAUAGAAAGGACUUUGGGAAAGGGUUAG
This 384-nucleotide ribosomal RNA is filed under the name Triticum aestivum (bread wheat). RNAcentral describes it as "partial small subunit ribosomal RNA". Lineage: Eukaryota; Viridiplantae; Streptophyta; Magnoliopsida; Poales; Poaceae. The record is from RNAcentral.